Molecule: ribosomal RNA, 813 nt
Filed under: Escherichia coli
Lineage: Bacteria; Pseudomonadati; Pseudomonadota; Gammaproteobacteria; Enterobacterales; Enterobacteriaceae
Description: partial 23S ribosomal RNA
Rfam family: Bacterial large subunit ribosomal RNA
Source: RNAcentral
UGAACUUUGACCUUACUUGUGUAGGAUAGGUGGGAGGCUUUGAAGUUGGAACGCCAGUUCCAAUGGAGCCGUCCUUGAAAUACCACCCUGGUAAUGUUGAGGUUCUAACUCUGUCCCGUUAUCCGGGACGAGGACCAUGUCUGGUGGGUAGUUUGACUGGGGCGGUCUCCUCCUAAAGAGUAACGGAGGAGUACGAAGGUGCGCUCAGCGUGGUCGGAAAUCACGCGUAGAGUAUAAAGGCAAAAGCGCGCUUAACUGCGAGACCCACAAGUCGAGCAGGUACGAAAGUAGGUCUUAGUGAUCCGGUGGUUCUGUAUGGAAGGGCCAUCGCUCAACGGAUAAAAGGUACUCUGGGGAUAACAGGCUGAUACCGCCCAAGAGUUCAUAUCGACGGCGGUGUUUGGCACCUCGAUGUCGGCUCAUCUCAUCCUGGGGCUGAAGCAGGUCCCAAGGGUAUGGCUGUUCGCCAUUUAAAGAGGUACGCGAGCUGGGUUUAGAACGUCGUGAGACAGUUCGGUCCCUAUCUACCGUGGGCGCUGGAAAUUUGAGAGGAUCUGCUCCUAGUACGAGAGGACCAGAGUGGACGAACCUCUGGUGUACCGGUUGUGACGCCAGUCGCAUCGCCGGGUAGCUAUGUUCGGAAGGGAUAACCGCUGAAAGCAUCUAAGCGGGAAGCCUACCUCAAGAUAAGAUUUCCCUAGGACUUUAUGUCCUCUAAAGAGCCGUUGAAGACUACGACGUUGAUAGGUUGGAUGUGGAAGCAUAGUGAUAUGUGAAGCUGACCAAUACUAAUUGCUCGUGAGGCUUGACUAU